UGACGUUGCGUGUUUUGUUGAAAUUAAUUUCACUUUUACUGUUUGUUAAGUUUAGUCAUUAAAUAUUACAGAGUCUGCAACUUUUGACAUGGGUAUACGCCGUACUUAGUGGUUAGUAACUAGCGGUAAGGCAAUCUAUGGAAGACAUCAUCUUCGGACCCAUGUCUAAAAGAAAAAAGGUGAUUAUAUUUUGUAAAUGCAACUCAACUCAUCAAAAAUACUACGAAAACCAGGGAAAUGAGCAAAAAGACAGAAUUUGGAGAAACGAGUACAUCUCUCUCUGGCUCUCCUGAUUGGUGCCUGUUACGCUGAUAAUGGCGUGUGCUACAUGUCAAACGGUUCAAUAGGGAAAUGUGUAAAACCAGGACAAUGUAAGGCACCUGAUCUUGGUAUCUUAGAUGUGCACAGGACAAUAAAAUUGGUGUGCCAAACGGGAGAACAAUGCUGUGAUUUUAGAGAUAUUAUCGAAUCCCCUAAUUCGCCCAUCAACGUUAACAAUUAUAUAAAAACAUUAAAUACUAAUAUAAAUUUGAAUUAUAAUUAUUUCAUAUAUAAAAACAAUUUUCAGCAAUAUCGCAUAUAGUAGAAUUUUGGGUUUUAAGUUAAAUAAAAUAAUUACUAAUCUGCUGUAUAACACACAAUCUGCAAAGUUAUUCCUACUGAAGUACUACCUAAUCCAGAAAUUAAGUUUUGUUACAAAUGUAAAUACACUUUUUUAAAUGAAAUAAUGUAAUAUUAUUAAAAUGUAUAUAUUUGUUAAAGUCUCAAUAAAGAGCAAAAAAUAUUCUAUUUGAAAUGGCCACCUUUGGUUUUUAUACAGGCUUUUGACCUGUUUGGCCACAAAUGUAUUGAUGUACGCACUGUUUUCAAGGGAAAUUUCGCCACUUGAAAGAUUUUUCAAAAGACUCAAGGUUGCCAUGUCGUAUAGAGCAGGUCAUGUUCUGACCAUAAUUUGAAGUCUAAAUGGUUGAGGUCAGCUCUAGAUGAGGGCCAGCCAGGCUUGAGUAGUAAGACCUAGGAUUUUCGUGAUUGGUACCCUCACUGCCAUGGUUAAUCUAUGAUAUCGUUAAGUGUAAACUCUAUAAGGACGGUUGAAUAACUCUCUAUGGGACCUUACAUUUUUUGACUUUGCAAAGAGUUGCCGGAUUAGAUGGAAAGAAUAAACAUCUUUAUUGGAAAAAUAAAAAAAUAUGUCAAACCAGUCUUCGUAAUUACAUAAAAAACAAUUCUUAUUUGAAAGACUACCAGAAAAUAUGUUUUUUUUUUAAUUUUGGAUGUUUUUGUUUUAUUUACCUUGUUCAUAUAUUGAGCUCAAUUUGGUAUAUAUGUUCUUUAUUUUAUUAAUAUCUUGGGAUAUUGAGGCAUCUUCGUGAUUAACGUUUAAAUUAUCCCAAUUUGUAAACAAAAGAACGGAUAGUUUGAAACGAUACCUAGGUAACACUGAAAUUGGUUAGAAAAAACGACUUAAUGUAAAAAGUUAAAGUAAUCUAAAAUGUGUAAUGUGGUAUUUGUUUUGGGUCAUAUAAAGAAACUUUUUUUUUAUUUAUUUAUUUAAUCUUCGUUUAUCUCUACACAUCAUAAUAAAUUGAUUAAUAAUUGACACCAAUUCACAAAAACAAAUGACAAAUGCAUUAGGUUACCAAAGAGUUCUAAAAUUGAAAUUAAAAAAAUAGUUUUCAUUUGCAAUGUUUCUAACUGGCCAGUACUAAACAUUUUCAGUGUUGCCCACGUACCGAUAGUCGAGUUUAUUAAUGUAUUAUUUUAGUGGGUGUAAUUGUAUGUAGAAUCGUGUAUAAUUGUGUAUAAUUGUAUAGAAUACAAGCUAAACCAAAGCCGAGGAUUUCGACGCAUUCCUGUGUGUUUACCGUGUAACCAAUGUUAACAUAGUAAAUUAUGGAAUU
Pieris rapae (cabbage white) is the source of this 1901-nucleotide long non-coding RNA. RefSeq lists it as uncharacterized. The record is from RefSeq and is a predicted model, not a curated record. The transcript has 6 exons. Lineage: Eukaryota; Metazoa; Arthropoda; Insecta; Lepidoptera; Pieridae.